RNAcentral lists this transfer RNA (77 nucleotides) under Terriglobia bacterium. RNAcentral describes it as "tRNA-Arg". It matches the Rfam family "tRNA". Rfam says of the family: Transfer RNA (tRNA) molecules are approximately 80 nucleotides in length. Their secondary structure includes four short double-helical elements and three loops (D, anti-codon, and T loops). Further hydrogen bonds mediate the characteristic L-shaped molecular structure. tRNAs have two regions of fundamental functional importance: the anti-codon, which is responsible for specific mRNA codon recognition, and the 3' end, to which the tRNAs corresponding amino acid is attached (by aminoacyl-tRNA synthetases). tRNAs cope with the degeneracy of the genetic code in two manners: having more than one tRNA (with a specific anti-codon) for a particular amino acid; and 'wobble' base-pairing, i.e. permitting non-standard base-pairing at the 3rd anti-codon position. Lineage: Bacteria; Pseudomonadati; Acidobacteriota; Terriglobia. The record is from RNAcentral. RNAcentral also lists the same sequence under 2 other names.
GCGGCUGUAGCUCAGAUGGAUAGAGCGCGUGCCUCCGAAGCACGAGGUCGGGAGUUCGAAUCUCCCCAGCCGCACCA